GAUGAAGAACGCAGCGAAAUGCGAUAAGUAGUGUGAAUUGCAGAAUUCAGUGAAUCAUCGAAUCUUUGAACGCGCAUUGCGCCCCAUGGUAUUCCGUGGGGCAUGCCUGUUCGAGCGUCAUUUACCCCCUCAAGCUCCGCUUGGUGUUGGGCGUCUGUCCCGCUUCGCGCGCGGACUCGCCCCAAAGGUAUUGGCAGCGGUCGUGCCAGCUUCUCGCGCAGCACAUUGCGCUUCUCGAGGCACCGGUGGGCCCGCGUCCAUCAAGCUCACCCCCCCAGUUUGACCUCGGAUCAGGUAGGGAUACCCGCUGAACUUAAGCAUAUCAAUAAGCGGAGGA
RNAcentral lists this unclassified non-coding RNA (337 nucleotides) under soil metagenome. RNAcentral's name for it is "partial contains 5.8S ribosomal RNA, internal transcribed spacer 2, and large subunit ribosomal RNA". The stretch from base 1 to 120 matches the Rfam family "5.8S ribosomal RNA", at positions 35 to 154 of the family's 154-position model. The record is from RNAcentral.